Molecule: long non-coding RNA, 334 nt
Filed under: Sorghum bicolor (sorghum)
Lineage: Eukaryota; Viridiplantae; Streptophyta; Magnoliopsida; Poales; Poaceae
Description: long non-coding RNA (SBIC_LNC005455)
Source: RNAcentral
GCCAUUGAUGUUGCUCUUCUCGAUCCUCCUUGUGGUCUUGGUGACUCUUAUGAACGGGAUGUCUAGAGAAAUUCAUAGGCUUAUCGGGAGGUUCAAAAGAAAGAGCAUAGUAGAAAUUAUUAGGCUCAAGGAUGGGAUGGACAGCCGAAUCAUGGGAUUGAAAUGUUUGGAAAUUGGCUAUUGAAACUUCCUUUCCUUGUCUGGGAGAUGAUUCCUUCUCUAUCUCUAAGAUUUUUCUAUGAAGACUAGUACAAGAAGGAUGUCCACGAAUGAAGACAUACCUUUCUUUACUGAUAGAUAAAGAAAGAAAGACUCUACCAAAGGGUAUAUGAUU